GUAGGGGAACCUGCGGCUGGAUCACCUCCUUAAUCGAAGAUCUCAGCUUCUUCAUAAGCUCCCACACGAAUUGCUUGAUUCACUGGUUAGACGAUUGGGUCUGUAGCUCAGUUGGUUAGAGCGCACCCCUGAUAAGGGUGAGGUCGGCAGUUCGAAUCUGCCCAGACCCACCAAUUGUUGGUGUGCUGCGUGAUCCGAUACGGGGCCAUAGCUCAGCUGGGAGAGCGCCUGCUUUGCACGCAGGAGGUCAGGAGUUCGAUCCUCCUUGGCUCCACCAUCUAAAACAAUCGUCGAAAGCUCAGAAAUGAAUGUUCGUGGAUGAACAUUGAUUUCUGGUCUUUGCACCAGAACUGUUCUUUAAAAAUUCGGGUAUGUGAUAGAAGUAAGACUGAAUGAUCUCUUUCACUGGUGAUCAUUCAAGUCAAGGUAAAAUUUGCGAGUUCAAGCGCGAAUUUUCGGCGAAUGUCGUCUUCACAGUAUAACCAGAUUGCUUGGGGUUAUAUGGUCAAGUGAAGAAGCGCAUGCGAAUGUCGU
This 534-nucleotide transfer RNA is filed under the name Pseudomonas aeruginosa. RNAcentral's name for it is "partial contains 16S ribosomal RNA, 16S-23S ribosomal RNA intergenic spacer and 23S ribosomal RNA". The stretch from base 97 to 170 matches the Rfam family "tRNA". The record is from RNAcentral. Lineage: Bacteria; Pseudomonadati; Pseudomonadota; Gammaproteobacteria; Pseudomonadales; Pseudomonadaceae.